RNAcentral lists this RNase P RNA (198 nucleotides) under Escherichia coli. RNAcentral's name for it is "partial RNase P RNA component class A". It matches the Rfam family "Bacterial RNase P class A", at positions 157 to 367 of the family's 367-position model. Rfam says of the family: Ribonuclease P (RNase P) is a ubiquitous endoribonuclease, found in archaea, bacteria and eukarya as well as chloroplasts and mitochondria. Its best characterised activity is the generation of mature 5'-ends of tRNAs by cleaving the 5'-leader elements of precursor-tRNAs. Cellular RNase Ps are ribonucleoproteins. Lineage: Bacteria; Pseudomonadati; Pseudomonadota; Gammaproteobacteria; Enterobacterales; Enterobacteriaceae. The record is from RNAcentral. RNAcentral also lists the same sequence under 1 other name.
AAAGGGUGCGGUAAGAGCGCACCGCGCGGCUGGUAACAGUCCGUGGCACGGUAAACUCCACCCGGAGCAAGGCCAAAUAGGGGUUCAUAAGGUACGGCCCGUACUGAACCCGGGUAGGCUGCUUGAGCCAGUGAGCGAUUGCUGGCCUAGAUGAAUGACUGUCCACGACAGAACCCGGCUUAUCGGUCAGUUUCACCU